Molecule: ribosomal RNA, 427 nt
Filed under: uncultured bacterium
Lineage: Bacteria
Description: partial 16S ribosomal RNA
Rfam family: Bacterial small subunit ribosomal RNA
Source: RNAcentral
UGGGGAAUAUUGCACAAUGGGCGCAAGCCUGAUGCAGCCAUGCCGCGUGUAUGAAGAAGGCCUUCGGGUUGUAAAGUACUUUCAGCGAGGAGGAAGGCGGUAAGGUUAAUAACCUUAUCGAUUGACGUUACUCGCAGAAGAAGCACCGGCUAACUCCGUGCCAGCAGCCGCGGUAAUACGGAGGGUGCAAGCGUUAAUCGGAAUUACUGGGCGUAAAGCGCACGCAGGCGGUUUGUCAAGUUGGAUGUGAAAUCCCCGGGCUCAACCUGGGAACUGCAUUCGAAACUGGCAGGCUAGAGUAUUGUAGAGGGGGGUAGAAUUCCAGGUGUAGCGGUGAAAUGCGUAGAGAUCUGGAGGAAUACCGGUGGCGAAGGCGGCCCCCUGGACAAAGACUGACGCUGAGGUGCGAAAGCGUGGGGAGCAAACA